This 58-nucleotide transfer RNA is filed under the name Rattus norvegicus (Norway rat). It matches the Rfam family "tRNA". From Rfam's summary of the family: Transfer RNA (tRNA) molecules are approximately 80 nucleotides in length. Their secondary structure includes four short double-helical elements and three loops (D, anti-codon, and T loops). The record is from Rfam by way of RNAcentral. Lineage: Eukaryota; Metazoa; Chordata; Mammalia; Rodentia; Muridae.
GGGGAUUUAGCUCAGUGGUAGAGCGCUUGCCUAGCAAGCGCAAGGCCCUGUAUCCCCA